UUCCGUUUGAUCCCGCCGGGACCGACUGCUAUCAGAGUGGGACUAAGCCAUGCGAGUCAACGUAGCAAUACGUGGCAUACGGCUCAGUAACACGUAGUCAACAUGCCCAGGGGACGAGGAUAACCUCGGGAAACUGAGGAUAAACCUCGAUAGGCCAUGAUUUCUGGAAUGAUUCUUGGCUCAAACCUAUAUGGCCCCUGGAUUGGACUGCGGCCGAUCAGGCUGUUGGUGAGGUAAUGGCCCACCAAACCUAUUACCGGUACGGGCUCUGAGAGGAGGAGCCCGGAGAUGGGCACUGAGACAAGGGCCCAGGCCCUAUGGGGCGCAGCAGGCGCGAAACCUCUGCAAUAGGCGAAAGCUUGACAGGGUUACUCUGAGUGAUUUCCGCUAAGGGAAUCUUUUGGCACCUCUAAAAAUGGUGCAGAAUAAGGGGUGGGCAAGUCUGGUGUCAGCCGCCGCGGUAAUACCAGCACCCCGAGUGGUCGGGACGUUUAUUGGGCCUAAAGCAUCCGUAGCCGGUUCUGCAAGUCCCCCGUUAAAUCCAGCUGCUCAACAGAUGGGCCGCGGAGGAUACUACAGAGCUAGGAGGCAGGAGAGGCAAGCGGUACUCAGUGGGUAGGGGUAAAAUCCGUUGAUCCAUUGAAGACCACCAGUGGCGAAGGCGGCUUGCCAGAAUGCGCUCGACGGUGAGGGAUGAAAGCUGGGGGAGCAAACCGGAUUAGAUACCCGGGUAGUCCCAGCCGUAAACGAUGCAGACUCGGUGAUGGGUUGGCUUCGCGCUAACCCAGUGCCGCAGGGAAGCCGUUAAGUCUGCCGCCUGGGUAGUACGGUCGCAAGACUGAAACUUAAAGGAAUUGGCGGGGGAGCA
Molecule: ribosomal RNA, 868 nt
Filed under: uncultured archaeon
Lineage: Archaea
Description: bacterial SSU rRNA
Rfam family: Archaeal small subunit ribosomal RNA
Source: RNAcentral